GUAUUGUUUGGUCAAUUCAUAAUACUGUUAAUUUUGGGUUGCUGUAUUUUCUACGAUUUUUUAAUCAUCGUGUUACAUUUGAAUUUUUGUUGACUUAACUUUUUCUAUUUAUGUAAAUAUAUGCCAUCUUAGGUGGGCUUCAUGUUAUUUAACCAUCUAGAUUUGUUCUCUUUUCCGGCACCGUGUGUUGCUUUACGGUUAACAAA
Molecule: long non-coding RNA, 206 nt
Filed under: Mytilus galloprovincialis (Mediterranean mussel)
Lineage: Eukaryota; Metazoa; Mollusca; Bivalvia; Mytilida; Mytilidae
Source: RNAcentral